Molecule: ribosomal RNA, 491 nt
Filed under: uncultured bacterium
Lineage: Bacteria
Description: partial 16S ribosomal RNA
Rfam family: Bacterial small subunit ribosomal RNA
Source: RNAcentral
AGUGAACGCUGGCGGUAGGCCUAACACAUGCAAGUCGAACGGCAGCACAGUAAGAGCUUGCUCUUACGGGUGGCGAGUGGCGGACGGGUGAGGAAUACAUCGGAAUCUACUUUUUCGUGGGGGAUAACGUAGGGAAACUUACGCUAAUACCGCAUACGACCUACGGGUGAAAGCAGGGGAUCUUCGGACCUUGCGCGAUUGAAUGAGCCGAUGUCGGAUUAGCUAGUUGGCGGGGUAAAGGCCCACCAAGGCGACGAUCCGUAGCUGGUCUGAGAGGAUGAUCAGCCACACUGGACCUGAGACACGGUCCAGACUCCUACGGGAGGCAGCAGUGGGGAAUAUUGGACAAUGGGCGCAAGCCUGAUCCCGCCAUACCGCGUGGGUGAAGAAGGCCUUCGGGUUGUAAAGCCCUUUUGUUGGGAAAGAAACGCAGCAGGUUAAUACCCCGCUGUUCUGACGGUACCCAAAGAAUAAGCACCGGCUAACUUCGU